CUGAGACGAGCAGUUUUAUUCAUAUUCAACAUAAUAUUCUUGCAUUUUGAUGCAACGUUUCAGUGAAGGAAUACUCAUCACCACCACCCGAUGCAAACCACGAUUUCAUCGUCUUUUAAACCUCGAACUCCACAAAAGACUUGAUCAAAAUGAUCCCUACGGUGGGGGAUUCAUUUAUUUAAAACUCUCUUGGCUCUUCCUCGAUGAUUUCUAUCACCGAAAUUUUCGUGCAGAAUAUUUAUCGCUUGCAGAAGCUUUUCUGCCCUGUAAUGUCAAGUUUCUUAUCUGCGUAGGACUCGGACUUUUUUCAGGACAAAACCGCAUCAUCAUGAAAGCUGGGCCUGGCAAAAAAAUAAAUGAUUCAAUAGUUGAGUAAUCAAGCUCAGGAACGACGUAUAUCUUAUGUCCAGCUAAUUUUCUGUUUUGCUGCUAACAAGUCACCUUCAGUCCAAUGUACGUCUUGCCCGUCCCAGGUGGUCCCUGGAUGAUUGCAAACUCCUUUGUCAGUGCCAUCUGUACCGCCUUGAGUUGAGAAGAGUCGAGUUCAAGGUCUUCUGCACUUGGCC
Molecule: long non-coding RNA, 566 nt
Organism: Actinia tenebrosa (Australian red waratah sea anemone)
Lineage: Eukaryota; Metazoa; Cnidaria; Anthozoa; Actiniaria; Actiniidae
Source: RefSeq, a predicted model, not a curated record